RNAcentral lists this transfer RNA (73 nucleotides) under Isochrysis galbana. RNAcentral's name for it is "tRNA-Arg". It matches the Rfam family "tRNA". Rfam says of the family: Transfer RNA (tRNA) molecules are approximately 80 nucleotides in length. Their secondary structure includes four short double-helical elements and three loops (D, anti-codon, and T loops). The record is from RNAcentral. Lineage: Eukaryota; Haptophyta; Isochrysidales; Isochrysidaceae.
GGGCUUAUAGCUCAGUGGAAAGAGCACUAGAUUCCGGUUCUGGGUGUCGUGAGUUCGAUUCUCGCUAAGCCUA